This 1412-nucleotide long non-coding RNA is filed under the name Daucus carota (carrot). RNAcentral describes it as "long non-coding RNA (DCAR_LNC006533)". Lineage: Eukaryota; Viridiplantae; Streptophyta; Magnoliopsida; Apiales; Apiaceae. The record is from RNAcentral.
CGGCAAUUAAUUAGCGAAAUCGAAACUCUUGACAUUUUUUCAAAAUUCAAUGUAAAAUAUGAUCUCUACUUUUUAAUUCUAUCUGUAAAUAAACACAUAUAUGUUUUACUUUUCUUUUAGAGAAAAGUGAAAAAUAUCUAAAAUCACUUGCUGGCAAAAAUUUGUCCACCACAAUAUAAAUUAAAUUAGUUACCAAUAUGCACUAACAAGAUCAGAAAUGAACAUAAUCAACCAAUAAUCCAUCAUAAUUACAUGUAAUCUAGAAGGAAAAUAAGCUGCCUAAUUAGGCCACGCCCAUGUUUCCACCUCUCAAAUCUAAGACCACAUCCAGAAGCAAAACUAAAGUUUUUCGAGUACAAAACAUGUCAUUAUUUCCACACGCUAUCAUAGCUUAAACAAGCACUUGCAUAAAGUUAAAGCUACUAACCCUAGAUUAAUUCCUAAUCAAAAGCCUAAUCCUACUGCGCCUCUAAUCUUCUGACAUGUGACUGCAAUUUACAAUAGAAUUUGUUAAAGAUAAGAAAGGCUAAAUGGGAACAAUUCUUGUCAGGUACGGCAAAGCAAUUACUAGAAAAAGUUAAAACGAGAUUUAAAAAUUGAAAAAUAUUUGUUUUUAUAUUAAAUUAUUCUCCCCCACUAUCCAAUCCUACUCAGAAAAAGAUUCUGGCGUGCACUAAGUGAUUUAAAUAAUCAAGCUUAUUGGAUCGAGGUCUCAAAUCUCCACCAUUUAUAUAAAGACGUGUGGUCAUGUGAAGCAUUAUUGGAUGGUGAGAAAGUUGUUAAUCACAAUAUUUGACAAAUUAAUUACACUUUUAAAUACCCUGCUGCACAAAAGCAACAAAAGAAAAUAGGUUUGAUUUUAGAUAAUUAAAAAAGAACUACAACUUGAUUUAUCUUGAGAAUAAAAAAUUUACUAAUUUUAACCUAUUGUCUUCUUUAAGUUUGUUAAUUAAUUUUACAAGUAUAUGACUAGAAUAUGCUUUGAACUCGUUUGAUUUGAUGUAAUCCAACUCCGUAAUCUUAAAAAUUUAUGGUUGGAUAUUGAUCGUUUUCGUCCAAAACCAGUUAUGUUAUUGGCAAGAUUUAAUUUGCACUUAUUUUCAAAUUCAGAUUCGGUUUCGGUUUCGGUUUCGAUUUCCGCUGUAUUUCAAGUGGUGGAUCAAAGUUGUGAACUUGUGUAAUUUGGCAUGAUUAGAAACAAUAAAACUACCAACAAGGGUUUGUACAAGGAGUUUUGGUUGAAUGAUUGUAUGGAUGUGUGCAAUUGCGUUAGCAGGUGGUUGUGAAAGUAGUUUGGAGGAGGGAUGGAGGGAGAUAGGCAUGUGAGUUGUAUGGUUAUAAAUAUGGAGAUGCUAUGCAAUUUGUUUGGGUUUUAUCUGGCAUUGGGCCCAUUCCAGCAUCAUCACCUUUGU